GCCGGCAUAGCUCAGUUGGUAGAGCAACUGAUUUGUAAUCAGUAGGUCGGGGGUUCGACUCCCUCUGCCGGCACCA
Molecule: transfer RNA, 76 nt
Filed under: Rhodanobacter sp.
Lineage: Bacteria; Pseudomonadati; Pseudomonadota; Gammaproteobacteria; Lysobacterales; Rhodanobacteraceae
Also listed under: 2 other names
Description: tRNA-Thr
Rfam family: tRNA
About the family: Transfer RNA (tRNA) molecules are approximately 80 nucleotides in length. Their secondary structure includes four short double-helical elements and three loops (D, anti-codon, and T loops).
Source: RNAcentral